This 441-nucleotide ribosomal RNA is filed under the name uncultured bacterium. Its description in RNAcentral is "bacterial SSU rRNA". It matches the Rfam family "Bacterial small subunit ribosomal RNA", at positions 337 to 792 of the family's 1533-position model. The record is from RNAcentral.
UCCUACGGGAGGCAGCAGCAAGGAAUAUUGUGCAAUGGGCGAAAGCCUGACACAGCGACACCGCGUGGGGGAUGAAGGCCUUCGGGUUGUAAACCCCUUUUCUCAGGGAAGAAAAAAAUGACGGUACCUGAGGAAUAAGCCUUGGCUAACUACGUGCCAGCAGCCGCGGUAAUACGUAGAAGGCGAGCGUUAUCCGGAUUUACUGGGCGUAAAGAGGGUGUAGGCGGCUUCUCAAGUCGGAUGUGAAAUCUCCCGGCUUAACUGGGAGGGGCCAUUCGAUACUGUUGGGCUAGAGGGCAGCAGAGGGAGGUGGAAUUCCCGGUGUAGUGGUGACAUGCGUAGAUAUCGGGAAGAACACCAGUGGCGAAGGCGGCCUCCUGGGCUGUUGCUGACGCUGAGACCCGAAAGCGUGGGGAGCGAACAGGAUUAGAUACCCCAGUA